CAACGCCGGAAAUCUCACCGGGGCGACAGCAAUAUGAAGGUCAGGCUGAAGACCUUACCCGAUUAGCUGAGAGGUGGUGCAUGGCCGUCGUCAGUUCGUACUGUGAAGCAUCCUGUUAAGUCAGGCAACGAGCGAGACCCACGUCCACAGUUGCCAGCAUACCCUCCGGGGUGAUGGGUACACUGUGGAGACCGCCGCUGCUAAAGCGGAGGAAGGAGUGGGCAACGGUAGGUCAGUAUGCCCCGAAUCUCCCGGGCUACACGCGGGCUACAAUGGUUGGUACAAUGGGCAUCUACCCCGAAAGGGGAAGGAAAUCUCUUAAAGCCAAUCGUAGUUCGGAUUGAGGGCUGCAACUCGUCCUCAUGAAGCUGGAAUCCGUAGUAAUCGCGUUUCAACAGAACGCGGUGAAUACGUCCCUGCUCCUU
RNAcentral lists this ribosomal RNA (425 nucleotides) under uncultured Methanosaeta sp. RNAcentral describes it as "bacterial SSU rRNA". It matches the Rfam family "Archaeal small subunit ribosomal RNA", at positions 913 to 1338 of the family's 1478-position model. Lineage: Archaea; Methanobacteriati; Methanobacteriota; Methanomicrobia; Methanotrichales; Methanotrichaceae. The record is from RNAcentral.